This 1872-nucleotide long non-coding RNA is filed under the name Gallus gallus (chicken). RNAcentral's name for it is "long non-coding RNA NONGGAT004923". Lineage: Eukaryota; Metazoa; Chordata; Aves; Galliformes; Phasianidae. The record is from RNAcentral.
CCAAAAUAUCAGUUCCACAGACGCCUCCAGCCUGAGAGGGAGCUCGGUACUGAGCACGCAGCAAUCCGCCGGCCCGCGGCCAUUUCAGCUGAAUGAACAGUCGAGGUCCUCACGACAUGCAGAAACACCUCCAUGCCUGAAGUUGCCCCUUACAUCCCCUCCAAGAAGAGCCUUAGUGUUCAUCUAAUCCCUGGAGACAGUAAUAUCGAGAUAGGUCAGCUUUGUCUAGCGUGCAUUAGGACAGACAGCACUGCGCACGGGGGAAGCAUCCACGUUCAAUAGCAUCCUGUGACACACACCAGCUCCUCAUGGCUCUUCUCCUCCACCACCGCCGUCCUGGGAAGCUUUCAGCCUGCAAGCUGCCUGAAAUCCUGUCUCUUCGUGGGAGCAGGAGCAGCAAGAGCAAUCCAUUCCCUGAAGCCUAGCGGAAAGCUGGCUGUUACCACCCACAGCGUACGACGAUGGGGAGGCUUCCAGACUUGAUUGAACGUAUUUUGUUCCUGACGUCUGUGAUUUCUAGAAGUGUGUGUAUCAGGUACAGCACCGGCUCGUACCAUUACAGAGAUCAGAGCCUUCAGUCCAUUGUAAGCCACUUCGGUUUCAACCUCUGGAGCAGCGGCCGUCCCACUCCCCGCUGUCACAUCAGCCACCAUGCAGGCUGGACGGAACGCAGCUCUUCACCAUGGGGUUCAUUUCAUGGAGCAAAUGAGAGCCACGUAGCACUGUUACCCUCCUAGCCUGCACGUCCAGAUGUUACAGAGCCCUAGCUCCUCGCAGAUCAGCUCUGCUAUAAGCAGUAACCACACAGCAGGCAUUUUCAUGGGAUCUAUCUACAUUCCCUUCUCCCCACAUACAAAAAGGAUGUAUUUGAAGUUUUUUCCUCAAGCCAGCAGAAAACACUAGCCAAGCUUUAACAGGUGCAAUACACAAACCAGGUCAUUGGACUCCACUGGCUCCCAGGCCAUGGCAAGCAGAAAGGCUGGGCAUCCCAGAGUCCCGUUUGCUUGGCAGUGGUAGAAACACAGAACGAGAAGCUAAGCUUGUCAAACCCUAACCACUAAAGUUGCAGGAAUUCAGUAAAAUUCCUUUUCAAACACUUAGCUACCUCUCUCAGUUAAAACAAACUAAACAGUUAAAACCCUUUCCAUGCACUCCCUUGAAAGUCAAUCCGAUAUACAAACAGAAAACAAAAGGAAAAAAAAAAUAAAUCAAAAGAUACCCUUUGAAACAGAACUUGCUCUUAAAGUGAUGAAGACAAAGUGUGUGUCUGGGGAGGCUUCCCAUUUUUCUCCUAAAUCCCAGGUUACAAGUACAACAAACAUUAUUGCUGGCACUAGCUUGAACCAAAGUGGCACACAUGACUCUUUGCACCUGUCAAAGUCCUUUACCCUCCCCUCCCCUUUCCGCUUACAGUGACUGGGGACAGCCCUCGUCAGUUUGCUGAUCACAGUGCGUGGAGCGGGGAGGUCACAGUGCGUGGGAUUGGAGGUCACAGUGGGCAGAGCAAAGGGGAUCACAGUGCAAGUAAACCAGGUAGUUCCCUUUGCUCAAGUCCAUUUGCCUGCCACAGCAGUGCGACCCGUGGCGGCUGACCCUGCUUUCUGCAGCAUCCUCUCGUGCCCACGUUUAUCUGCGUUGUUUGAAGCCUUGUGAACCAUCGGGGCCCAGGGGCUGCCUAAUCACAUUAUUGGGCUGUCUGAUGUCCUCCGGCUGGGAGAUCCUCGUUGGCCUGCAAGGAGAAAGGAGAGGACGAUGCAACAUGCCUGUGGAAUGCAAUGUGUAUACCUUCAGAUACUCCUAUACUUGCUUUGGUGGAAAGCUGCAGGACAGUGGUCACAGACCUGCUGCAUUUCUCCCUGGGAUAAGGGAGCA